Molecule: small RNA, 96 nt
Filed under: Marmota monax (woodchuck)
Lineage: Eukaryota; Metazoa; Chordata; Mammalia; Rodentia; Sciuridae
Source: RNAcentral
GCUGGGCACAGUGGCACAUGCCUGUAAUCCCAACUACUCAGGAGGCUGAGACAGGAGGAUCACAAGUUUGAGUAACUUUGUGAGACCCUGUCUUAG